This 1372-nucleotide ribosomal RNA is filed under the name uncultured bacterium. RNAcentral's name for it is "bacterial SSU rRNA". It matches the Rfam family "Bacterial small subunit ribosomal RNA", at positions 28 to 1381 of the family's 1533-position model. The record is from RNAcentral.
GAUGAACGCUGGCGGCGUGCCUAAUACAUGCAAGUCGAGCGAACGGACGAGAAGCUUGCUUUUCUGAUGUUAGCGGCGGACGGGUGAGUAACACGUGGAUAACCUACCUAUAAGACUGGGAUAACUUCGGGAAACCGGAGCUAAUACCGGAUAAUAUUUUGAACCGCAUGGUUCAAAAGUGAAAGACGGUCUUGCUGUCACUUAUAGAUGGAUCCGCGCUGCAUUAGCUAGUUGGUAAGGUAACGGCUUACCAAGGCAACGAUGCAUAGCCGACCUGAGAGGGUGAUCGGCCACACUGGAACUGAGACACGGUCCAGACUCCUACGGGAGGCAGCAGUAGGGAAUCUUCCGCAAUGGGCGAAAGCCUGACGGAGCAACGCCGCGUGAGUGAUGAAGGUCUUCGGAUCGUAAAACUCUGUUAUUAGGGAAGAACAUAUGUGUAAGUAACUGUGCACAUCUUGACGGUACCUAAUCAGAAAGCCACGGCUAACUACGUGCCAGCAGCCGCGGUAAUACGUAGGUGGCAAGCGUUAUCCGGAAUUAUUGGGCGUAAAGCGCGCGUAGGCGGUUUUUUAAGUCUGAUGUGAAAGCCCACGGCUCAACCGUGGAGGGUCAUUGGAAACUGGAAAACUUGAGUGCAGAAGAGGAAAGUGGAAUUCCAUGUGUAGCGGUGAAAUGCGCAGAGAUGUGGAGGAACACCAGUGGCGAAGGCGACUUUCUGGUCUGUAACUGACGCUGAUGUGCGAAAGCGUGGGGAUCAAACAGGAUUAGAUACCCUGGUAGUCCACGCCGUAAACGAUGAGUGCUAAGUGUUAGGGGGUUUCCGCCCCUUAGUGCUGCAGCUAACGCAUUAAGCACUCCGCCUGGGGAGUACGACCGCAAGGUUGAAACUCAAAGGAAUUGACGGGGGCCCGCACAAGCGGUGGAGCAUGUGGUUUAAUUCGAAGCAACGCGAAGAACCUUACCAAAUCUUGACAUCCUUUGACAACUCUAGAGAUAGAGCCUUCCCCUUCGGGGGACAAAGUGACAGGUGGUGCAUGGUUGUCGUCAGCUCGUGUCGUGGGAUGUUGGGUUAAGUCCCGCAACGAGCGCAACCCUUAAGCUUAGUUGCCAUCAUUAAGUUGGGCACUCUAAGUUGACUGCCGGUGACAAACCGGAGGAAGGUGGGGAUGACGUCAAAUCAUCAUGCCCCUUAUGAUUUGGGCUACACACGUGCUACAAUGGACAAUACAAAGGGCAGCGAAACCGCGAGGUCAAGCAAAUCCCAUAAAGUUGUUCUCAGUUCGGAUUGUAGUCUGCAACUCGACUACAUGAAGCUGGAAUCGCUAGUAAUCGUAGAUCAGCAUGCUACGGUGAAUACGUUCCCGGGUCU